GAAAGCGGCUUCGGCCGCGAGUAGAGUGGCGCACGGGUGAGUAACGCGUGGAUAAUCUCCCUUCUUGUUGGGGAUAACAGUUGGAAACGACUGCUAAUACCGAAUACGCCCAUAUUUUUACCGAUGUGGGGAAAGGCGACCUCUGCAUAUGUUGCCGCAAGGAGAUGAGUCCGCGUCCCAUUAGCUAGUUGGUGAGGUAAAGGCCCACCAAGGCGACGAUGGGUAGCCGAUCUGAGAGGAUGAUCGGCCACACUGGAACUGAAACACGGUCCAGACUCCUACGGGAGGCAGCAGUGGGGAAUAUUGCGCAAUGGGCGAAAGCCUGACGCAGCGACGCCGCGUGAGGGAUGAAGGUCCUCGGAUCGUAAACCUCUGUCAGAAGGGAUGAACGUACACGAUGCCAAUCAGUUGUGUAGUGACAGUACCUUCAAAGGAAGCACCGGCUAACUCCGUGCCAGCAGCCGCGGUAAUACGGAGGGUGCAAGCGUUAAUCGGAAUUACUGGGCGUAAAGCGCACGUAGGCUGUCAUGUAGGUCAGGGGUGAAAGCCGUCGGCUUAACCGAUGAAUUGCCCUUGAAACUGCGUGACUGGAAUUCGGGAGAGGAUGGCGGAAUUUCAGGUGUAGGGGUGACAUCCGUAGAUAUCUGAAAGAACACCGG
RNAcentral lists this ribosomal RNA (659 nucleotides) under uncultured rumen bacterium. Its description in RNAcentral is "bacterial SSU rRNA". It matches the Rfam family "Bacterial small subunit ribosomal RNA", at positions 70 to 712 of the family's 1533-position model. The record is from RNAcentral.